GUACUGAUCGUUCAGUGAUAGAAUUCCCCCCUUUCAUGUGGGAGACCUGGGUUCGUUUCCCAGCCCAUGCA
This 71-nucleotide transfer RNA is filed under the name Loxodonta africana (African savanna elephant). It matches the Rfam family "tRNA". Rfam says of the family: Transfer RNA (tRNA) molecules are approximately 80 nucleotides in length. The record is from Rfam by way of RNAcentral. Lineage: Eukaryota; Metazoa; Chordata; Mammalia; Proboscidea; Elephantidae.